RNAcentral lists this ribosomal RNA (552 nucleotides) under uncultured bacterium. RNAcentral's name for it is "bacterial SSU rRNA". It matches the Rfam family "Bacterial small subunit ribosomal RNA", at positions 777 to 1325 of the family's 1533-position model. The record is from RNAcentral.
AAUAGAUACCCUGGUAGUCCACGCCGUAAACGAUGAGUGCUAAGUGUUAGGGGGUUUCCGCCCCUUAGUGCUGCAGCUAACGCAUUAAGCACUCCGCCUGGGGAGUACGGUCGCAAGACUGAAACUCAAAGGAAUUGACGGGGGCCCGCACAAGCGGUGGAGCAUGUGGUUUAAUUCGAAGCAACGCGAAGAACCUUACCAGGUCUUGACAUCCCAUUGACCACUAUGGAGACAUAGUUUUCCCUUCGGGGACAACGGUGACAGGUGGUGCAUGGUUGUCGUCAGCUCGUGUCGUGAGAUGUUGGGUUAAGUCCCGCAACGAGCGCAACCCUUGUUCUUAGUUGCCAUCAUUUUAGUUGGGCACUCUAAGGAGACUGCCGGUGACAAACCGGAGGAAGGUGGGGAUGACGUCAAAUCAUCAUGCCCCUUAUGACCUGGGCUACACACGUGCUACAAUGGACGGUACAAACGGUUGCCAACCCGCGAGGGGGAGCUAAUCCGAUAAAACCGUUCUCAGUUCGGAUUGUAGGCUGCAACUCGCCUACAUGAACG